RNAcentral lists this transfer RNA (77 nucleotides) under Spirochaetes bacterium GWB1_59_5. RNAcentral's name for it is "tRNA-Met". Lineage: Bacteria; Pseudomonadati; Spirochaetota. The record is from RNAcentral.
GCUUCGUAGCUCAAAGGUAGGGCAGUCCCCUCAUAAGGGACAGGUUCCCGGUUCGACCGCAGCUCGGGCCGGGAGCU